Molecule: long non-coding RNA, 360 nt
Filed under: Homo sapiens (human)
Lineage: Eukaryota; Metazoa; Chordata; Mammalia; Primates; Hominidae
Description: RRAGAP1 antisense RNA 1
Source: RNAcentral
CAGAUCUCCUCCGGGAGUGGUGGGCAGCUACUGUGAAAGGCCUGGUUCAAAAACCUCACAGCGGUUGUUUUCAGAGUUGUCCCUCCUGUGUACUCUCAAAGCCCCAGAAUGAAGCAAAGCAUCCUCCCUUUUCAAACUGGCACUCUUCCCCAACCUUGAGGACCACUAGGCACUUUGUUUUUAAAGCCACAGUUACUUUUAUGGAGAAGUAUUGUUAUGAAAAAAGGGAGGCAUCUGAGGAGUGGAAACAGAGAAAUGAGUGACUGAGAUCAGUGUCUUAUUUUGACCAUCUUUUCCAAGUGCUGCAUCCUCCCAAACACAACAUGAACUCAACACUUAAUAAAGCUGCAGUCCUACGUG